This 250-nucleotide ribosomal RNA is filed under the name uncultured bacterium. RNAcentral's name for it is "partial 16S ribosomal RNA". It matches the Rfam family "Bacterial small subunit ribosomal RNA", at positions 779 to 1035 of the family's 1533-position model. The record is from RNAcentral.
UAGAUACCCUGGUAGUCCUAGCCGUAAACGAUGGACACUAGGUGUGGGGGAAUAUUUCUUCCGUGCCGCAGCUAACGCAUUAAGUGUCCCGCCUGGGGAGUACGGCCGCAAGGCUAAAACUCAAAGGAAUUGACGGGGGCCCGCACAAGCAGCGGAGCAUGUGGUUUAAUUCGAAGCAACGCGAAGAACCUUACCAGGCUUGACAUUUAGGUGAAGCGGCGGAAACGUCGUGGCCGAAAGGAGCCUAAAC